GACGAACGCUGGCGGCGUGCCUAAUACAUGCAAGUCGAACGCAUUUUCUUUCACCGUAGCUUGCUACACCGAAAGAAAAUGAGUGGCGAACGGGUGAGUAACACGUGGGUAACCUGCCCAUCAGCGGGGGAUAACACUUGGAAACAGGUGCUAAUACCGCAUAAUUCCAUUUACCGCAUGGCAGAUGGAUGAAAGGCGCUUUUGCGUCACUGAUGGAUGGACCCGCGGUGCAUUAGCUAGUUGGUGGGGCAACGGCCUACCAAGGCUGCGAUGCAUAGCCGACCUGAGAGGGUGAUCGGCCACACUGGGACUGAGACACGGCCCAG
Molecule: ribosomal RNA, 326 nt
Filed under: uncultured bacterium
Lineage: Bacteria
Description: bacterial SSU rRNA
Rfam family: Bacterial small subunit ribosomal RNA
Source: RNAcentral